UACGGAGGGCGCAAGCGUUGUUCGGAAUCACUGGGCGUGAAGCGCGUGUAGGCGGCUUGGUAAGUCGGGUGUGAAAGCCCGGGGCCUAACCCCGGAACUGCACUCGAAACUGCCUCGCUCGAGUCCCGGAGAGGAUGGUGGAAUUCCCGGUGUAGUGGUGAAAUACGUAGAUAUCGGGAGGGACACCAGCGGCGAAGGCGGCCAUCUGGACGGUGACUGACGCUGAGACGCGAAAGCGUGGGGAGCAAACAGG
This 253-nucleotide ribosomal RNA is filed under the name uncultured bacterium. Its description in RNAcentral is "partial 16S ribosomal RNA". It matches the Rfam family "Bacterial small subunit ribosomal RNA", at positions 524 to 776 of the family's 1533-position model. The record is from RNAcentral.